GCGGCAUCCGCACCCAAGAACAGCGAGUCCUAGCUAGCGCAAGGGGCGCGAGGUUUUGCUUGCCCUGGCUCUCAUGGCGUGCCUCCUCGUCCUCGUCGUCGCCGCCGCGGUUCUCACGGCUCCACCCGGGAAGCUGGCGCAAGCUGCCCGGACGACGUCGCCGGAGGCGUUCUGGCGCGCCGCCCUCCCCAACGCUCCCAUGCCGGAGUCCGUCCGGGAGCUCCUGCGCCCUGGUAUGCACGCAGAGGUCAAGCCUCCAAGCGCAGACAGCCUCAAACCUCGCGACGGAUUUGGUGUCCUAUGGUGUACGUACCCAUAUCAAAUCGUGAGCGUAAAAUCGCAUCUGGAGAUUCGUGCACCAGCAGCUGUUAAUCCACGGCGUCACCGCUAUGUAGUCGAACCAGUUCGCUGUUCCCGGACGCAUAACGCCGUGUUCACACCAGGCAUUGAAAAUGAGCAUUUAUUGCAACGUAAAGCCGGAAGAAACCUGGUGUCGCCACUGUACAUCUUCCCGAAAGCGCUUGUACCCCAAGCACCUCUCACACUGCCCCUGGGGCAACGCGCACCCCGCCGCAGCCGCACCCGCACCCGCACCCCACUCCCCCCCCACCCUCCCACCCCCCGCCGCGGCAUCCCGCCCCACAGCCAGAACCAAGAAAAUCGUCUCCGGCGAACAACGGAUGACGCCAUCGCCAACGCCUCUAGCUGCAGCAAAGUCACCACAACAUUCGGGGGCGACAUCAUCGCCCGCGUGCCGCCGCAAGCGGCGGUGUUCUUCCUGGAAGACGCGGUGCGCGUCGGCGGGAGCCUGCCGUUCCCGCGCGCGGCGCCCAGCGGCGAAGCGGCGGCGGGUCAGCAGGAAGCCCCGCUGGAGCUGCGCACCGUCCGCGCCGUUCGCGCCGUCCAGGGGUCCAGCUUCGUGCUGUGCCGCGGCGGGGCGCCCGCCGGCUCCGCCGGCGGCGGCGCCGUGUACGGGUGCCGCGGGGUCGUCGGCCCGGCGAGGGCGUACGUGGUGGACGUUGCUGCCGGGGAGCGCGGGGACGCGGUGACCGCGAGUGUCGUGUGCCACGCCGACGACGGCGCGUCCAAGUCUAUAAGCUGGGGCGCGCGGCGGCGGCGCUCCGCCUGCUCGACGUGAAGCCCGGCGGCGGCGCGGCGGUCUGCUACGCCGUGCCCAACGCGCAGAUACUCCUGGUGAAGAGCAACAAGCACACUCUCGUCUUCUCACAACUCACAAGUCCGCCGCGUACACGGAUCGGACUUCAUCCCCAGAGCUCGAGGGUUUUGCUUUGGCUCUCGAUCUUCGACAUGGCGCGCCUUCUCGUCCUAGCCAUCGCCGCCGCCCUAGCAGUACUCGCGGCUCCACCCGGGAAGCAGCUGAUGAUGAUGGCGCGUGCUGCCCGGCCGUCGCCGGCCGAGGCCUUCUGGCGCGCCGCCCUCCCCGACGCGCCCAUGCCGGAGGCCAUCCGCGAGCUCCUGCACCCUAGCGCCGCAGGGACCAAGGACCCUAACGUCGGCGACCCGCCGCCACUGCCUCCUCUGAACUUCAAGUACGACGACUACAAGUCCUCGCCUCGGAACGAGGCCGCCGCCGCCGCCGUGGAGGGCGUGGUCAGCGAGCAUGGGGAGGAGGCGGUGGCCGCGGCCAUCGAGUGCCGCGUGGGCCGCGCCCGUCCCGGUGGGGGGCGCGCCGCGUUCCGGCUGGUCGAUGUGAAGAAACCCGGAGGCGCGGCGGUCGUCUGCCACGCCAUGCCCGGCGGCGCGCAGGGGCUCCCGGUCAAGACCGGCGGCGAGAGCCCGUCCUUGGCGUAAGGGCUCGGUGCUCCGUUUGUUCGUGUUUGUGGUGCCUUGGCAGCAUGUGCUUUGUGAGUUUGAUCUACCGUGUUGUGUGCUCUCUAUUGCUAUAAGUGAGCGUUAAAAUAAAGGAAUGCUAGUGCUUGUGUC
Panicum virgatum (switchgrass) is the source of this 1944-nucleotide RNA transcript. RefSeq lists it as uncharacterized. NCBI's taxonomy places the organism in Eukaryota, Viridiplantae, Streptophyta, Magnoliopsida, Poales, Poaceae. The transcript has 8 exons. The record is from RefSeq and is a predicted model, not a curated record.